This 345-nucleotide ribosomal RNA is filed under the name Triticum aestivum (bread wheat). RNAcentral describes it as "partial small subunit ribosomal RNA". Lineage: Eukaryota; Viridiplantae; Streptophyta; Magnoliopsida; Poales; Poaceae. The record is from RNAcentral.
AUGGUAAGUACACAUUGCCAUUUUUUUGAAGCAGAACUGAACAUUACAUUCAUUUGUAGCUUAUAUCAUUCCAGUGGAACCUCCCGCAGGAUUAGUACCUGCGAUGAAGUGAUACAAAGUCUUUGCAAAAUGCUGCAUGUGACCCAGGUGCAUAGCGCUGUUGUAUCCAACAAUGUAUUUGAACAAAUAAAAGAGGCAGCAAUAUUACAUGCAUUUGGUUCAAAAUUGACUAUCGUGGCUCUGCCAGUACACAAAAAGGUGAGUGAAAGUAGAAAUAAAUUUCUCAAUCAAUCAUAUGUCCCCUCUUCCCUCCCAUAUAUUCUUCUCUUUUGUGUUGUUAGAUAA